This 530-nucleotide small RNA is filed under the name Pan troglodytes (chimpanzee). RNAcentral's name for it is "processed transcript". Lineage: Eukaryota; Metazoa; Chordata; Mammalia; Primates; Hominidae. The record is from RNAcentral.
AAGAGGCGGGGCAGCCGUACCGUUGGGGGACACCCUUUCCCUGUUCCUGUUAAGUAGCCUCCCAUUUCCUGGCGGGUGCGCGGGGGCGGCCCGGCGGAGACCACCUGGCUGGGAGAAGGCGGAGGAGGCGAUGGCUACUAUCCCUCUGGAGGCGCCUGGCCAGAGCCUGGUCGAGCCGGAGGAAGCCACCAGGAGCAGCCACCAUAUCCUAGCUACAAUUCUAACUAUUGGAAUUCUACUGCGAGAUCUAGGGCUCCUUACCCAAGUACAUAUCCUGUAAGACCAGAAUUGCAAGGCCAGAGUUUGAAUUCUUAUACAAAUGGAGCGUAUGGUCCAACAUACCCCCCAGGCCCUGGGGCAAAUACUGCCUCAUACUCAGGGGCUUAUUAUGCACCUGGUUAUACUCAGACCAGUUACUCCACAGAAGUUCCAAGUACUUACCGUUCAUCUGGCAACAGCCCAACUCCAGUCUCUCGUUGGAUCUAUCCCCAGCAGGACUGUCAGACUGAAGCACCCCCUCUUAGGGGGCA